This 433-nucleotide ribosomal RNA is filed under the name uncultured bacterium. RNAcentral's name for it is "partial 16S ribosomal RNA". It matches the Rfam family "Bacterial small subunit ribosomal RNA", at positions 29 to 507 of the family's 1533-position model. The record is from RNAcentral.
AACGAACGCUGGCGGCAUGCCUAACACAUGCAAGUCGAACGAGACCUCCGUGUCUAGUGGCGCACGGGUGCGUAACGCGUGGGAACCUGCCCUUAGGUUCGGAAUAACUCCCCGAAAGGGGUGCUAAUACCGGAUAAUGUCUUCGGACCAAAGAUUUAUCGCCUUUGGAUGGGCCCGCGUUGGUUUAGCUGGUUGGUAGGGUAAAAGCCUACCAAGGCGACGAUCCAUAGCUGGUCUGAGAGGAUGAUCAGCCACGCUGGGACUGCGACACGGCCCAGAAUCCUACGGAAGGCAGCAGUGGGGAAUAUUGGAAGAUGGGCGAAGGCCUGAUCCCGCCACGCCGCGUGAGUGAUGAAGGCCUUAGGGUAGUGAAGCUCUUUUACACGGGAUGAUAAUGACGGUACCGGGAGAAUAAGCACCGGCUAACUCCGUG